Molecule: long non-coding RNA, 1170 nt
Organism: Polypterus senegalus (gray bichir)
Lineage: Eukaryota; Metazoa; Chordata; Cladistia; Polypteriformes; Polypteridae
Exons: 5
Source: RefSeq, a predicted model, not a curated record
CGCGCUUUGUUUUUGGAGGAACGGUUGUAACAACUUUGCCGUUUUGAUCCUGCCUAUGAAUGGACAUGCUGGUGGAAUUCUAUCUCCUCAUUGGUUUUGGUAUUCCCCAGGAAGAGCUGGAAUCUGUAACAAGAGACUGGGAAGUCUGUGCUGACCUGCUUGGCUUGCUGCUCCAAUUCUAUGAGGAAAAGAGAUUUCAGAAAAUGAGAUGAGAGAUCAGUGACAUUUGCUGAAGCAGCAGGAGGAUGGAGGUGAUAUAUAAAACGGCCUGCACACACACUCCUACCAUGAUAUUUGACUAACUUCUAUUGGGGAUCCAUUCUGAAAUCAAGAUUGUCUGUCAAACGAGUAAAAGAAGAAAAUAUACAAAAUACAAAGUGACCCCCUCAAGAUCUUGACGUUUGAUGCACGGACAUGUUGCCACCAAUCUGUAUAAACUACAUCAGAGCCAGAGCAUCAUCUAUGCCUGUAUAUUGUAUGAAACAAAGGGGUUUGAAGAGAACAUGCUUUAUACAGUUAUGUGAAAAAGUAAGUACACCCCAUGGAAAUUGUUGACUUUUUCAAGAUAUUUGAACAGGCAAACAAGAGAUCUUCAUGCAACUAUUUCUUCUAAAAAUAAUCCUUCAUAACCUUCAUUUUCUUUUGCUUGACAUAUUUUUGAGAACUCAGAGUUUAUCCCGAAAGUAGUGGACAAAAGGCAAGAUGCAGUUCCUAUCAGACACCUUCAUCCAGUCAUUUUUAUCAAGUAAUUUAAUAUUUAGGCCUUUGGAAUUCGAGAAGCAGCUGAAGCACUUUGAAAAAGUUUCAGUGAAACAUAAUAAAGAUAAUGGAAUAAUAAAGAUUCUGGAAGCUGAACCAAGAACCACCAGUAUACGAACAUGCCUCUCAAAUUACUUAUUCCAGUACAGGAUUAUUGUGAGUUGGAGCCUAUCUCAGCAGCACUGAGGACAAAGGAGGAAGCAACUCCGGGUAAGACACAACAUUAGUGCACCCAUAUGUGUGACGGUUGUUCUCUGAUUGCUUCCAGGAGCUCCUUGAAUACGAAACCAUCAAUAGACAUAAACCAAGAUGAGCCGGGCAAAUGAAGACACUCACAGUAAGCAAGGGUUGGUGCAAAUGUGUUCAGUGCUUUUAUUAAAACCAACCCAAAGUGUUCAAAAGUGCAGUACA